RNAcentral lists this long non-coding RNA (805 nucleotides) under Brassica napus (rape). Its description in RNAcentral is "long non-coding RNA (BNAP_LNC013409)". Lineage: Eukaryota; Viridiplantae; Streptophyta; Magnoliopsida; Brassicales; Brassicaceae. The record is from RNAcentral.
UGAAGUAUCGCGUCCUGACAAGUGCGAUGUAACGUGUCAAGAGAAAGGUUUUAAUAGAGGGAUAUAUGUAAAUGAAGGUCUCAGUGUUGCGAAAUGUUGUUGCGAUAAAAGUUCUACGCCAUCGAUAUUGUCUGAACCUGUUAUACCUCCCGAUCAUAAGAGAUAUGCUCCAUCGAUAUUGUCUGAACCUGUUAUACCUCCCGAUCAUAAAAGGUUUGCGCCAUCGAUAUUGUCUGAACCUGUUAUACCUCCUGAUCAUAAGAGAUAUGCUCCAUCGAUAUUGUCUGAACCUGUUAUACCUCCCAAUCAUAAAAGGUUUGCACCAUCGAUAUUGUCUGAACCUGUUAUACCUCCCGAUCAUAAAAGAUAUGUGCCAUCGAUAUUGUCUGAACCUGUUAUACCUCCCGAUCAUAAGAGAUAUGCUCCAUCGAUAUUGUCUGAACCUGUUAUACCUCCCGAUCAUAAAAGGUUUGCGCCAUCGAUAUUGUCUGAACCUGUUAUACCUCCCGAUCAUAAGAGAUAUGCUCCAUCGAUAUUGUCUGAACCUGUUAUACCUCCCGAUCAUAAAAGGUUUGCGCCAUCGAUAUUGUCUGAACCUGUUAUACCUCCCGAUCAUAAGAGAUAUGCUCCAUCGAUAUUGUCUGAACCUGUUAUACCUCCCGAUCAUAAAAGGUUUGCGCCAUCGAUAUUGUCUGAACCUGUUAUAUCGAUAUUGUCUGAACCUGUUAUACCUCCCGAUCAUAAGAGAUAUGCUCCAUCGAUAUUGUCUGAACCUGUUAUACCUCCCGAUCAUAAAAGGUUUGCG